CCUACGGGGUGCUGCAGUGAGGAAUAUUGGUCAAUGGACGAGAGUCUGAACCAGCCAAGUAGCGUGAAGGAUGACUGCCCUAUGGGUUGUAAACUUCUUUUAUAAAGGAAUAAAACGAGGCACGUGUGCCUUUUUGCAUGUACUUUAUGAAUAAGGAUCGGCUAACUCCGUGCCAGCAGCCGCGGUAAUCCGGAGGAUCCGAGCGUUAUCCGGAUUUAUUUGGUUUAAAGGGAGCGUAGAUGGGUUGUUAAGUCAGUUGUGAAAGUUUGCGGCUCAACCGUAAAAUUGCAAGUGAUACUGGCAGUCUUGAGUACAGUUGAGGUAAGCGGAAUUCGUGGUGUAGCGGUGAAAUGCUUAGAUAUCACGAAGAACCCCGAUUGCGAAGGCAGCUUACUAAACUGUGACUGACAUUGAUGCUCGAAAGUGUGGGUAUCAAACAGGAUUAGAUACCCUAGUAGUC
Molecule: ribosomal RNA, 460 nt
Filed under: uncultured bacterium
Lineage: Bacteria
Description: partial 16S ribosomal RNA
Rfam family: Bacterial small subunit ribosomal RNA
Source: RNAcentral